Molecule: ribosomal RNA, 495 nt
Filed under: uncultured bacterium
Lineage: Bacteria
Description: partial 16S ribosomal RNA
Rfam family: Bacterial small subunit ribosomal RNA
Source: RNAcentral
GACGAACGCUGGCGGCGUGCCUAAUACAUGCAAGUAGAACGCUGAAGGAGGAGCUUGCUUCUCUGGAUGAGUUGCGAACGGGUGAGUAACGCGUAGGUAACCUGCCUGGUAGCGGGGGAUAACUAUUGGAAACGAUAGCUAAUACCGCAUAAUAGUAGAUGUCGCAUGACAUUUGCUUAAAAGGUGCAAUUGCAUCACUACCAGAUGGACCUGCGUUGUAUUAGCUAGUUGGUGAGGUAACGGCUCACCAAGGCAACGAUACAUAGCCGACCUGAGAGGGUGAUCGGCCACACUGGGACUGAGACACGGCCCAGACUCCUGCGGGAGGCAGCAGUAGGGAAUCUUCGGCAAUGGACGGAAGUCUGACCGAGCAACGCCGCGUGAGUGAAGAAGGUUUUCGGAUCGUAAAGCUCUGUUGUAAGAGAAGAACGAGUGUGAGAGUGGAAAGUUCACACUGUGACGGUAUCUUACCAGAAAGGGACGGCUAACUACGUG